This 303-nucleotide ribosomal RNA is filed under the name Triticum aestivum (bread wheat). RNAcentral's name for it is "partial small subunit ribosomal RNA". Lineage: Eukaryota; Viridiplantae; Streptophyta; Magnoliopsida; Poales; Poaceae. The record is from RNAcentral.
AUGGCCGGGCGGACACCACUAACCAACGCGGGGGCUGCGACGGAGGCUGACGCCUACGAGCCGUACGUGGCAUUGAAGCAGCUGCGCACUUACAUCUUCACCGAGCUCCUCCCCGCCUUCCCCGCCCUCGACAACAGGCGGCUCACCGCCCUCCUCUCCUCCGACGGUGUCGACCGCAUCAGCCUCCUCCCCGACGCGCUCCUACGCAACAUCGUCUCCCGCCUCCCCAUCACGGAUGCCGCGCGCACCGCCGUUAUCGCCUCGCGCUGGCGCCGGGUCUGGCUAUCUACCCCCUCACGCUAA